AGCAGCCGCGGUAAUUCCAGCUCCAAUAGCGUAUACUAAAAUUGUUGCGGUUAAAAAGCUCGUAGUUGCAUUUGUGCGCCGCGCUGUCGGUGCACCGCAUCCGCGGUGAUACUGACACGUCUGCGGAGCAUAUCGUCGGUGAGCCGGCGGUAAUACGCCGGUUCAAUAUCAAAAUCCUAUCGCGGUGCUCUUCGGUGAGUGUCGAGGUGGGCCGACAAUUUUACUUUGAACAAAUUAGAGUGCUCAAAGCGGGCUCAAAAUGCUGCUUGAAUAUUUCGUGCAUGGAAUAAUAGAAUAUGAUCUCGGUUCUAUUUUGUUGGUUUUCAGAACUCCGAGGUAAUGAUUAAUAGGGAUAACUGGGGGCAUUCGUAUUGCGACGUUAGAGGUGAAAUUCUUGGAUCGUCGCAAGACGAACAUCAGCGAAAGCAUUUGCCAAAGGUGUUUUCAUCAAUCAAGAACGAAAGUUAGAGGUUCGAAGGCGAUUAGAUACCGCCCUAGUUCUAACCGUAAAUAUGUCAUCUAGCGAUCCGCCGACGUUACUACAAUGGCUCGGCGGGCAGCUUCCGGGAAACCAAAGAUUUUGGACUCCGGGGGGAGUAUGGUUGCAAAGCUGAAACUUAAAGGAAUUGAC
RNAcentral lists this ribosomal RNA (631 nucleotides) under Helicoverpa armigera (cotton bollworm). RNAcentral describes it as "SSU rRNA". It matches the Rfam family "Eukaryotic small subunit ribosomal RNA", at positions 569 to 1157 of the family's 1831-position model. The record is from RNAcentral. Lineage: Eukaryota; Metazoa; Arthropoda; Insecta; Lepidoptera; Noctuidae.